CCUACGGGUGGCAGCAGUGGGGAAUAUUGGACAAUGGGCGAAAGCCUGAUCCAGCCAUGCCGCGUGUGUGAAGAAGGCCUUCGGGUUGUAAAGCACUUUCAGUGGGGAAGAAAGCCUUGGGGCUAAUACCCUCGAGGAAGGACAUCACCCACAGAAGAAGCACCGGCUAACUCCGUGCCAGCAGCCGCGGUAAUACGGAGGGUGCGAGCGUUAAUCGGAAUUACUGGGCGUAAAGCGCGCGUAGGCGGUCUGAUAAGCCGGUUGUGAAAGCCCCGGGCUCAACCUGGGAACGGCAUCCGGAACUGUCAGGCUAGAGUGCAGGAGAGGAAGGUAGAAUUCCCGGUGUAGCGGUGAAAUGCGUAGAGAUCGGGAGGAAUACCAGUGGCGAAGGCGGCCUUCUGGACUGACACUGACGCUGAGGUGCGAAAGCGUGGGUAGCAAUCAGGAUUAGAUACCCCUGUAGUC
This 465-nucleotide ribosomal RNA is filed under the name Vreelandella stevensii. Its description in RNAcentral is "partial 16S ribosomal RNA". It matches the Rfam family "Bacterial small subunit ribosomal RNA", at positions 338 to 795 of the family's 1533-position model. Lineage: Bacteria; Pseudomonadati; Pseudomonadota; Gammaproteobacteria; Oceanospirillales; Halomonadaceae. The record is from RNAcentral.